RNAcentral lists this ribosomal RNA (1674 nucleotides) under Escherichia coli 2-052-05_S4_C2. Its description in RNAcentral is "bacterial LSU rRNA". It matches the Rfam family "Bacterial large subunit ribosomal RNA", at positions 1270 to 2925 of the family's 2925-position model. The record is from RNAcentral. Lineage: Bacteria; Pseudomonadati; Pseudomonadota; Gammaproteobacteria; Enterobacterales; Enterobacteriaceae.
AUGCUGGAGGUAUCAGAAGUGCGAAUGCUGACAUAAGUAACGAUAAAGCGGGUGAAAAGCCCGCUCGCCGGAAGACCAAGGGUUCCUGUCCAACGUUAAUCGGGGCAGGGUGAGUCGACCCCUAAGGCGAGGCCGAAAGGCGUAGUCGAUGGGAAACAGGUCAAUAUUCCUGUACUUGGUGUUACUGCGAAGGGGGGACGGAGAAGGCUAUGUUGGCCGGGCGACGGUUGUCCCGGUUUAAGCGUGUAGGCUGGUUUUCCAGGCAAAUCCGGAAAAUCAAGGCUGAGGCGUGAUGACGAGGCACUACGGUGCUGAAGCAACAAAUGCCCUGCUUCCAGGAAAAGCCUCUAAGCAUCAGGUAACAUCAAAUCGUACCCCAAACCGACACAGGUGGUCAGGUAGAGAAUACCAAGGCGCUUGAGAGAACUCGGGUGAAGGAACUAGGCAAAAUGGUGCCGUAACUUCGGGAGAAGGCACGCUGAUAUGUAGGUGAAGUCCCUCGCGGAUGGAGCUGAAAUCAGUCGAAGAUACCAGCUGGCUGCAACUGUUUAUUAAAAACACAGCACUGUGCAAACACGAAAGUGGACGUAUACGGUGUGACGCCUGCCCGGUGCCGGAAGGUUAAUUGAUGGGGUCAGCGCAAGCGAAGCUCUUGAUCGAAGCCCCGGUAAACGGCGGCCGUAACUAUAACGGUCCUAAGGUAGCGAAAUUCCUUGUCGGGUAAGUUCCGACCUGCACGAAUGGCGUAAUGAUGGCCAGGCUGUCUCCACCCGAGACUCAGUGAAAUUGAACUCGCUGUGAAGAUGCAGUGUACCCGCGGCAAGACGGAAAGACCCCGUGAACCUUUACUAUAGCUUGACACUGAACAUUGAGCCUUGAUGUGUAGGAUAGGUGGGAGGCUUUGAAGUGUGGACGCCAGUCUGCAUGGAGCCGACCUUGAAAUACCACCCUUUAAUGUUUGAUGUUCUAACGUGGACCCGUGAUCCGGGUUGCGGACAGUGUCUGGUGGGUAGUUUGACUGGGGCGGUCUCCUCCUAAAGAGUAACGGAGGAGCACGAAGGUUGGCUAAUCCUGGUCGGACAUCAGGAGGUUAGUGCAAUGGCAUAAGCCAGCUUGACUGCGAGCGUGACGGCGCGAGCAGGUGCGAAAGCAGGUCAUAGUGAUCCGGUGGUUCUGAAUGGAAGGGCCAUCGCUCAACGGAUAAAAGGUACUCCGGGGAUAACAGGCUGAUACCGCCCAAGAGUUCAUAUCGACGGCGGUGUUUGGCACCUCGAUGUCGGCUCAUCACAUCCUGGGGCUGAAGUAGGUCCCAAGGGUAUGGCUGUUCGCCAUUUAAAGUGGUACGCGAGCUGGGUUUAGAACGUCGUGAGACAGUUCGGUCCCUAUCUGCCGUGGGCGCUGGAGAACUGAGGGGGGCUGCUCCUAGUACGAGAGGACCGGAGUGGACGCAUCACUGGUGUUCGGGUUGUCAUGCCAAUGGCACUGCCCGGUAGCUAAAUGCGGAAGAGAUAAGUGCUGAAAGCAUCUAAGCACGAAACUUGCCCCGAGAUGAGUUCUCCCUGACCCUUUAAGGGUCCUGAAGGAACGUUGAAGACGACGACGUUGAUAGGCCGGGUGUGUAAGCGCAGCGAUGCGUUGAGCUAACCGGUACUAAUGAACCGUGAGGCUUAACCU